This 253-nucleotide ribosomal RNA is filed under the name uncultured bacterium. RNAcentral's name for it is "partial 16S ribosomal RNA". It matches the Rfam family "Bacterial small subunit ribosomal RNA", at positions 524 to 776 of the family's 1533-position model. The record is from RNAcentral.
UACAGAGGUCUCAAGCGUUGUUCGGAUUCAUUGGGCGUAAAGGGUGCGUAGGCGGCGCGGUAAGUCGGGUGUGAAAUCUCGGAGCUUAACUCCGAAACUGCAUUCGAUACUGCCGUGCUUGAGGACUGGAGAGGAGACUGGAAUUUACGGUGUAGCGGUGAAAUGCGUAGAUAUCGUAAGGAAGACCAGUGGCGAAGGCGGGUCUCUGGACAGUUCCUGACGCUGAGGCGCGAAAGCCAGGGGAGCGAACGGG